AACCUGCGGAAGGAUCAUUACU
Molecule: ribosomal RNA, 22 nt
Filed under: Cetraria odontella
Lineage: Eukaryota; Fungi; Ascomycota; Lecanoromycetes; Lecanorales; Parmeliaceae
Description: partial 18S ribosomal RNA
Source: RNAcentral